CCUUCUCCCCACAUGCUUUUCCCUCCUCCAUGCUGACUCACCCCUUAGGAAUUCACUUCACCAGCUCUUUCUUUCUUUCUUUUUUUAAAGAUUUUAUUUAUUUAUUCAUGAGAGACACAGAGAGAGCGGCAGAGACACAGGCAGAGGGAGAAGCAGGCUCCAUGCAGGGAGCCCGAUGUGGGACUCAUCCCAGGACCCCGGGGAUCACGACCUGAGCCAAAAACAGUUGCUCAACCUCUGAGCCACUGAGGUGUCCCUCACCAGGGCUUCCUUAGGCAGCUUUCUUGGCGCUUCCCUGAGGUCAAAUCCCCCCAACCUCUUACACCUUCAGGAAACCCCCAAGUGGCCCUUGGCGUUUUUGCACAAUUUUAAUUACUGUGUGGUGGUUUCAUUCCUAUCUCCCGUGGUUCGAUUAUACAGUUAUUUAGGCAGGAACAUGUCGGCUUUAUCACUGGAUGCCGAGGCCUAGCCCAGAAUCUGGCACGCAGUAGGGGUUCAGUGAUGUUUUGUUUGUUUGUUUGUUUGUUUGUUUGUUUAUGAAUUGACUGAGUGAGCAAGCACCCUUUACAGAGAAGCCCGCUUGGUUUCCCCGGGCCGGUGGGCUGGUGACCUGGGGGCCCCCACCCUGCCCCCCUACAUGCCCAUAUAUGGACAUGAUCAGCACAGCGCUGGCCGCUGUCUGUGAGGUCCAGGCCCCCCGCGACCUCACAAUGCCCAGGGCCCGCCCUGUGUCUAUAAGAGGCCGAGGGGUCAGCCCCCCGGCUCACAGCCCACGAAGUUCCACCUGCUCACAGGUUGGCUGGCUCAACCAAGGUGGUCCCCCUGCUCUGAGCAUCUGGGCCGGAUCCAUCCAGCGCCAUGGCCAGAUACCGAUGCUGCCGCAGCCAAAGCCGGAGCAGAUGCCGCCGCCGGAGACGCAGAUGCCGCAGACGAAGGAGGCGAUGUUGUCGGAGGCGGAGAAGGAGAGUGUGCUGCCGCCGCUACACCGUGGUACGCUGUAGGAGAAGAUGAAUGAACGCCCAGACUCGCCAGCCCACCGCACUCCUGCUGCGCAACCACCAGCCAAGACCCCCCUGCCGCCUCCUGAACAUGCCACCCGCUCGAUGAAGUGAACAGGAGCCUGCUAACGAACAAUGCCGCCUGUCAAUAAAUGAUGAAAAAAUCACCCUUCUCGUCUGUUU
This 1181-nucleotide long non-coding RNA is filed under the name Vulpes vulpes (red fox). RNAcentral's name for it is "lncRNA (ENSVVUG00000017925.1)". The record is from RNAcentral. Lineage: Eukaryota; Metazoa; Chordata; Mammalia; Carnivora; Canidae.